This is a long non-coding RNA of Loxodonta africana (African savanna elephant), 5548 nucleotides long. RefSeq lists it as uncharacterized. Lineage: Eukaryota; Metazoa; Chordata; Mammalia; Proboscidea; Elephantidae. The transcript is spliced from 4 exons. The record is from RefSeq and is a predicted model, not a curated record.
CUUUGUAGACCUUGCUAAGGAUAUCUGAUCUUUUUCUCAGGGAAAGAACCAGGAGGAUCCUGGACUGGUUUGAGGUCCUCCAGUGGUGCUAACCUCUGGAGGGAGUCCCAGAAUUGUCCAGCACCUUCUGGAGUCUCCUGGGAGGCAGAGUGAAGCACAGCCUGGGGUCUCACUUAUGAAAUAUUUACCAGUUGCCUUGGAGUUGUUUCUGCCUUAUGGUGACCUAUAUGUUUCAGAGCGCUCCAUAGGAUCUUCAAGGGCUGAUUUUUUUUGGAAGUAGAUCCCCAGGACUUUCUUCUGAGGUACGUCUGGGUAGAGAUGAACCUCCAACCUUUUGGUUAACAAGGUCGCCAUGAGUUGUAGUCUACUCGAUGGUAACUAACAACGACAACAAGAAACUACAAGCCACGAUUAAUGUUUUCAAGGAGGUCCCAGUUCAGACAUGGAGCCAAUUGUAUCGAAAGAUGUUUGGAAUAUAAGCUGGAAAAUACAGAUGGAAAAAAGUGAAGGAAUAAUUUCUGCAGAUGCUCUGAACUGUGUUUUUCCAGUAUAGCUUCACUCCGUAGGAUUUGUAUGUCCUUGGUCGCGAGGCAUGAAGUUGUUCGAGAACAGAGGUGGGAAAGGUCUGAUGCUGUCACUCACGAGCCUCACGUCCAUGGGCAAAAUCAUCUCUUAACGGGGAGGCCUCAGUGGAUCUACACACAAUGGUAGUCAGAUCCUUGAUGGCACAUGCCAACUUGGGCCCAAAUGGCUCGGGUGAAUCUACUUAAUGAUACCUGAAAGAGUUCUUUUGAUUCAUGACUUUAUAAAACUAAUUACAAGUAUUUGCAUGUGAAUUACUAAACCCAUUCUACAAUUAACUGUAUAAUUUCUAAUUUGCCUCUCUGCAUCUCAGUCCAGCAUUUAUUUCUGCCAAUGCAUUAAUCAAGGUGAUAAUAAUUCCAUUUACCUGUUAGUUUAUUAGAUGUCUUAUUUUCUUUUAGAAAAUUUGAAUAAGGAACAUGGUGCUAAUCAAACCUAAGUAAGGUGGAGAUAUGAACAGAAGGAAACUGACAAUAUAAAAUGAGGGUGUCAUAUAUAUUCCACAGGUAAAAUCUACAGUGUGUCCACAGAAUCCAUAAAUAACUUUUUUUUUUUUUUUAAUAUCUGUGGUCAGUGAACUGAAGGGCAAACCAUCCUGACUGGACUCAGCUAGUUUCUAGCUAAUCAGCUUACCCUCCGAAAAUGCAAAAUAAUGUCUUGAGAUUGUUAGCUGUUUUUUUGUCCAACCCCUCUCCUUCCAUCUCUUGUAAACCUUGUUUUGCCUUUGGUUGUUGACAAGAGUCUAGUCGUUGGAUCUCUUCUACAUGAGCACAGGACUUGCACCCUGAAGAUAACUCAGUGUCCCAGAGAUGUUGUUGGCCUCCCUCUCUUCCUUCUCUCUCAUGCUCACUCUCACUCUAGAGCUCUUGGCUUUCUUCCCCACUAGAACGUGGCCCUAUGAAAAGAGGAAAGGUACUUGUCUUUGUCACCAUUGUAUCUCUAGUUUCUAGCUUAGGAACUGCCAAGUAAGAGGCAUGGAUAGAUACAUGUUAUAUGUGUGAAAUAUGUGUGUUAACUAUUUUAUAACCAUUAUAUGUGCAUGUUUUUAUAAACACACAUAUGGCAUCUGCUGAUAUUUAUCCUUUUUUUUCUGUAAUAAUGGAACCACACUUUUGCAGGGAAAUCCAAUCCACAGGAUUAAGUAAGACUGACUCCAUUCCUAUUCCCUGCACACAGGCCUGGGCACUUGAUACCAAACCUAGGCACUCAGAGUGCCCCAUAAGCCUGGCCAUAGCAAUUGGUUCUGGAAGAGCUGUGUGCUCAUUGAGUCCCACUUGGGACAUUUGCCCAAGUCAUUGUUGAAAUGUGCCUUUUCUCUGAAUGGAGCAUGUGUUAAACAGGGAGGUCUAUCUGCUGUAAUGAACACCGUCGAACUCUCAAUGGUUUUUCAUGAAGUUUAUUCUUCACUCGCAUCACAGCCCACGCGGUUUUGAUGGCAGGCUGAGUGUUGCUCCAUGCAGUCCUUCAGAAUCUUAACUUGUUCCAUCCUGUGACCCUGUCCCAUCCUCAGCCAGCUGCGUUUGAAGCUGACAUAGAAAGACAAAAGGGAUGAUCUCACUGGAUUUCAGUGGUUUUAGUGGUUUAGUUUUAAGUCAUGGUAUUUCAGUUGCCUCAUAUGUAUCUGAAACCUGGACAAUGAAUAAGGAAGACAGAAGAAGAAUGGAUGCCUUUGACUUAUGGUGUUGGCAAAGAAUGUUGAAUAUACCGUGGACUGCCAGAAGAAUGAACGAGUCUGUCUUGGAAGAAGUACAGCCAGAGUACUUCUUAGAAGGAGGAAAGAUGGUGAGACUUCUUCUCGUGUAGUUUGGACAUGUUAUCAGGAGGGGCCAGUCCCUGGAGAAAGACGUCAUACUUUGUAAAGUAGACGGUAGGUGUAAAAGAGUGUUAUCUGACCUUACUAAUGCCCUUAGUAAUGCCAGUAAAUUUUCAUUAAUCCUUAAACUAGCCCAAAUCAGACUUGGCCUGCCCCUCAUGUGCAGAAGGGCCAGCUGAGACAGCUAAUUGACCUCAACAGAGGACACAGCAACAGGAGGAACGAAUCAGAAGGAAAAUCAUCACCCAGACCCUAUUUUGAAGCAAGAAGUCCUACAAGAAUCAUGUCACCUCCUAUUUCCUGACCACCUUCUGGAAUUUUCCCUCCCCAGAACUCCUGCACGGCUGCCAUCUACCUGCCCAAAUCACAUGUAAGCCCUGCUUCCCUGUAGCUCAGGGAGCCAGAUCUGAGGAACUUCCUCCAGGCUCCUUGCUCUGCACAUUGCAAUAAAGUUACUUUCUCAAAGACCAGUAUCCAGAUAAUUGGCAAGUCUGAGCGCACUGGACAAGGACCCAUUUUUCAGGUUGGAUAACAAGCGGAAGACCCUUGAAGAAAUGGAUUGACACAGUGGCUGCAACAAUGGGCUCAAAUGUAGCAACGAUAGUGAGGAUGGCACAGGACUGGGCAGUGUUUCCUUCUGUUGUACAUAGGGUCAUGAGUCGGAAGUGACUCAAAGGCACCUAACAACAACAACAAAAAAACAGAACCAAAUCCAUUGCCUUUGAGUCAAUUCUGCCUCAUAGUGAAACUAACAACAACAACACUUUAAUUAGGGAUUCUGUCACCUAAAACAAGAGAAUCAGGAUCAACAUACCCAUUUUUUGCUUACCUUGUCUAGCCUCUAGCCUAGUACCUUUCAUAUGAUAAAACAAAAACCAAACAAGUUGCCAUCAAGUCAAUCCUGACUCAUGGUGACCCCAUGUGUGUCAGAGUAGUAGACAACCUAACGUUUUUAACCAAAGAUCUGAAGAAUGAGUGACUGUAUACUCAAUAUUACUAUGUUGGGCUACACUAAUGUAGAGCUAUUGGUCUGAUGUUAAUUACCAAACUUAUCUCAUGAAUUAUUCCUGAAAAUUGUAGCUCUAAGUAGCUAAUAGGGGUUUGACACUUAUUAUUCUAUUACUGUAUUUUCUGUUUUUCUGUCCUCUAUCAGCUAUGCAUGUCUCAUGCUGCUCUGUAUCAAAAUUGCCAACACCUUUUUUUUUUGGUUGACACAAUAAUUGCAGAAUUUUAACAUUUACGAUUAUUGUAUUUCUGUUAUUCUAAGUCAGUUUAAUCUUAUUAAAUACUGUAAUUGUCUGUGAAAUCCUGGACUUGAGGACAUCUAAUACCCCUCCAGUGUACUCUGCAAAAAUGCUUGCCUCCCCAGCCUCAUCUUUCUGCCUGCGCCUCAGGGUGGAAAGGGAAUGAUCUCUUUGAAUUUUAGUGGUUAGAACAAACCACCAGGCUGAACGUUAAAAUUAUGAAAAAUGUCUGCCUUGAGUGUGAUGCUCUUUUAAGUACUAUUUAGAUGGGAUCAAACUGACAGGAGCAACUGGAAAGAUUAGAUAGGAACCUUAUGGGGCUGUGAAUUUAUGUUAAUGGGGGAGGAACAACUCAGAAAAGGAGGGUGAGAAUGGUUGGACAACGUGAAGACUAUGAUUAAUGUCACUGAAUUGCACAUGUAGAAACUUUUCAGUUGAUGUAUGUUUUGUUGUAUAUAUUCUCAACAACAACAACAAAAUAAAAUAAAAUUCUUCUAUCGAACCAUGGGCCUGGGGAAAAUCUUAUUUUGUGUGACUUUUCUGUGUAGCUCAACUGUAUAUUCUGACUCCUCCAAUAAUAACAACCAUAGGAUGAUGUUUGGUUAAAAGCACAGGCUUUUAAUGUCCAAAUUUAUAUCCCAGCCUAGGUACUGUCAGCGAUACUGAGAAAUUUAUUUAAACUUUUUGGGGAGAGGGUCAUCAGCUACAAAAGAGUGAUAAUGGUAGCACAUACCUCAUAGGGUUGUUAUGAAGAUUAGGAGAUCACAUAUGGAAGCAAUGCUCAGGACAGUGGCUGGUACCAAUGAAUCAUAAAAUUACUGUUAUUUAUUUAUUUCUUAUUACAACAGCUGAGGGUUUAGCUUUAAGUCUUUCAUGUCCUUUACAUCUUGGUUCAAAGAGUAUAUCUCUUUACCUUGUCCUGAUAGGAGGUGUCUUAGUCAUCUAGUGCUGCUAUAACAAAUACCACAACUGGAUGGCUUUAACAAAAAGAAAUUUAUUCUCUCACAACUAGGAGGUUAGAAGUCCAAGUUUAGAGUGCCAGCUCCAGGGGAAAGCUUUCUCUGUCUCUGUCAACUCUGGGGGAAGGUCCUUGUCAUCAAUCUUCCUCUGGUCUAGGAACUUCUCAACCAACACAGGGAGCCUGGGUCCAAAGGACAAGCUCCACUCCUGCCUUUUCUUGCUUGGUGGUAGAAGAUCCCUCCCCUCUCUGCUAGCUUCUGGCUUUUAUAUCUCACAAGACAUUGACUCAUUCAACCUAAUCCUGUAGAUUGAAUCCUGCCUCAUUAACAUAACUGCCUCUAAUCCUGCCUCAUUAACAUCAUAGAGGUCAGAGUUUACAAUGCGUGGGAAAAUUAUAUCAGAUCACAGAAUGGAGGAUGACCACAGAAUACUGGGAAUCAUGGCCCAGCCAAGUUGACAUACAUUUUCUGGGGGGCACAAAUCAACCCAAAGCAGGAGGUUUCGGAAGAGAAUCACUAAUAUUGUGAAGAAUGAUGAUAUUAAGAUGUUCUGCAUGUUAAGGUUGGAGAAAAUUCUGGUGGGAAGAAGAAACUCCCAACGGGUUUAGAGAGAGAUGCAUCUUCUAAUGGUUAUCACCUCUCAUGUCUAUGUGAAGUAUAAAGAGGAAGUUUUUGAAUUAAUCUCUCCCAUUCAUGUCCUCUUGUGUUGACAGUCUCUGAUCAUCCCUGUGCGGUGCAAAUGGUUUAGUGCUCGACUACUAGCCAAAAGUCUGGGAGUGUGAACCCACCCAGAGGUGCCUCAGAAGAUAGGCCUGACCAUCUACUAUUAUAAGGUCACAGAUACUGAAAAUCUGUGGAGCACAGUUCUACGGUGCACACAUGAGCUAGCUAUGAAUCAGAAUCCGCUCGGUGGCAACUAACGAACAUUAAAAUCAUUCACGUCCUUGUGU